UCCCUACAAAAUUACCGAGUUUCAUUAUCUUAUCUAUUCUCCUCAAAAGACCAAAACAGAUUCCAAACUAGGAAGAAAUAUUUUACUUGGCCAAGGCCAACAAGCCAUCUUGGCUAUAACUGUGAGUCUGUGACCUAAUCAAUGUUUGGAAAAACUUGAUAUUUUCAUUGACUAUGAACUAUAUAUGUAAAUACACAUUCAUUCUGAGUUCACAUGCACAGCCCCUUAUGCGUGUGAUCAAAACCUCGCUUCAAAUUCAUGUGAUCAAAGGUAAAAAAAAACCUAUAAACUUCCCCUAAUACUCCUGAUUUCGCCUGAAGGAACAAAUGUGUUGAUGUUUCAAGGCGGCAAUUACACCACACACAACUUACCCCCUCUUGAUGAGGUAAAACUCCUCUCAUGAGGAGGUUGGACCUUGUAGUCACACGGUCAUAAAGUAAUUGCCAUGAAAAAACAAUUACUUUUGAAGGAGCCGGACUCUCCCAAAUCUUAGAAAAGAUUUUUGCCUCACAAAGAGGUAAAGGGGGCACUUCAUUCAAUUCUUUUGAGAGCGAAUCAAAAGCCGACUAUACCGAGAAAAAACCCAUCGGAGAUUGAAUAAGCAGAACUUACAUGUCUAAUCUACGCUGCUAUUUUGUGCUACAUAAAUUUACCGUCACUAAUUCAAGCAAAUUCAACAAACAAACAACAUUAGGCUUUCAAAUUAUCUCAUUUAGCAUUAUUUAAUAAUUGAAAGCUGUAAAGUUAUCAAAUAAUCAAAACUAAAGCAAGUUGAACAUGUGGCAGUAGCAUAUGAUGAAUUAUUUGUUAACAAACAUAACAUACAACAAUUUCCCUAUCAAAGAAGCAAAAGUUUGCCACUUCCUAUUGAAUGAAAACAAGAGUUUUUUUCUUGUUUCCAAAAAUUUUAAGGAAAAUGCUAAACAGUGCCCCCGGCACUGUUUAAGCAUAUAAAUAUGGAAAUUUUGUCUCGGAACUUGUGCAUUCAAUGCAUCGAAAAUGUAAAAAGUUAUUUUAUCAAUAUUAAUUUUAUCUUUUGUUUCUAUAUUUGGUAUGCUUAACAAGUGCCCAACCCCGGGGGCACUGUUUAGCAUGACCCUUUUAAGGAAAAUUUGGGGGCACUGUUUAGCAUGACCCAAAUUUUAAAACAGCUAAUUAUUUUUUUCAGUACACAAAUCUGAAGAAAAAGCAAUUAAACGACUUCAAUGACCACCUCUACAGGCAUGGCAAUAUAACCUAUACCUGCGGGCACCCACCAGUCCAGUCCCUCCCCGAUGUUGACGGGGAAAAACCGAUUUGACUGGGUUUGAGUUUCCCCUUAAUUUAAAAUACGGGGGUGGAGCGGAUAAUGGGGACAUUGAUACAAUGAUACCCACCGCGAAUCCGUCCCCAAACCCGCUCCGCGUAUAUCUAAUUACAUUUUACCUCUCUUAAAUUAUAAACUCUUAAACAAAGUCUUAAAUUAUAUUCAAUUGUUUGUUUUUAUUUUUAAGUUAUGUAUUAAACAAAGUUGUUUUUU
This 1519-nucleotide long non-coding RNA is filed under the name Trifolium pratense (red clover). RNAcentral's name for it is "long non-coding RNA (TPRA_LNC005506)". The record is from RNAcentral. Lineage: Eukaryota; Viridiplantae; Streptophyta; Magnoliopsida; Fabales; Fabaceae.